RNAcentral lists this ribosomal RNA (160 nucleotides) under uncultured Aeromonas sp. RNAcentral describes it as "partial 16S ribosomal RNA". It matches the Rfam family "Bacterial small subunit ribosomal RNA", at positions 337 to 489 of the family's 1533-position model. Lineage: Bacteria; Pseudomonadati; Pseudomonadota; Gammaproteobacteria; Aeromonadales; Aeromonadaceae. The record is from RNAcentral.
UCCUACGGGAGGCAGCAGUGGGGAAUAUUGCACAAUGGGGGAAACCCUGAUGCAGCCAUGCCGCGUGUGUGAAGAAGGCCUUCGGGUUGUAAAGCACUUUCAGCGAGGAGGAAAGGUUGAUACCUAAUACGUAUCAGCUGUGACGUUACUCGCAGAGAGA